RNAcentral lists this ribosomal RNA (517 nucleotides) under Cryptorhynchini gen. sp. ARC3869. RNAcentral describes it as "partial 16S ribosomal RNA". It matches the Rfam family "Bacterial large subunit ribosomal RNA", at positions 1826 to 2608 of the family's 2925-position model. Lineage: Eukaryota; Metazoa; Arthropoda; Insecta; Coleoptera; Curculionidae. The record is from RNAcentral.
UUAUUGUAAAAAAUUUUAAGUCUGACCUGCCCAAUGAUUUAGGAUUUAAUGGCCGCGGUAUUUUGACCGUGCAAAGGUAGCAUAAUCAUUAGUUUUUUAAUUGAAAUCUUGUAUGAAGGGUUUAAUGAAAAAAUAUCUGUCUCUGUUUAAAUUUAUUAGAAAUUUAUUUUUUAGUGAAAAAGCUGAAAUUUGAAUAGAAGACGAGAAGACCCUAUAGAGUUUAAUAUUUGCAAAAAAUGAAUAUUAUUAAGUAUUAAAAUUUUAUUUAUUGCAAAUAUUUAAUUGGGGUGAUUUAAAAAUUUAAAAAACUUUUUUAAAAAAUAGCCAUUGAUUUAUGAGUAUGGGAUCCUUUAUUUAAGAUUAAAAGAAAUAAUUACCUUAGGGAUAACAGCAUAAUUUUUUUUAGAGUUCUUAUUGAAAAAAAAGAUUGUGACCUCGAUGUUGGAUUAAAAAAAAAUAUUGGUGAARAASCUAAUAGUUUAGGUCUGUUCGACCUUUAAAAUUUUACAUGAUCUGA